Molecule: ribosomal RNA, 308 nt
Filed under: uncultured eukaryote
Lineage: Eukaryota
Description: partial 18S ribosomal RNA
Rfam family: Eukaryotic small subunit ribosomal RNA
Source: RNAcentral
CCCUUAGAUGUUCUGGGCCGCACGCGCGCUACAAUGGCAAAGUCAGCGAGUCUCCUUUACCGAAAGGUAUAGGAAAUCUUUUCAGUCUUUGCCGUGAUGGGGCUAGACCCUUGUAAUUAUUGGUCUCCAACGAGGAAUUCCUAGUAAACGCAGGUCAUUAACCUGCAUUGAUUACGUCCCUGCCCUUUGUACACACCGCCCGUCGCACCUACCGAUUGAAUGGUCCGGUGAAGUCUCCGGAACGAGUACUUUCAGUACUUGUGAAGUUGACUAAACCUUNCNAUUUAGNGGAAGGUGAANUCGUANCA